Molecule: non-coding RNA, 45 nt
Filed under: Schistosoma mansoni
Lineage: Eukaryota; Metazoa; Platyhelminthes; Trematoda; Strigeidida; Schistosomatidae
Source: RNAcentral
AUCUAGUUGACGUGUUCGAAAUAGGACGAAACGCGCAUCCUGGGU